GGUUAAGCGAACAAGCGUACACGGUGGAUGCCCUGGCAGUCAGAGGCGAUGAAGGACGUGCUAAUCUGCGAAAAGCGCCGGUAAGGUGAUAUGAACCGUUAUAGCCGGCGAUGUCCGAAUGGGGAAACCCAGUGUGAUUCGUCACACUAUCUCAGCAUGAAUACAUAGUGCUGUGAGGCGAACCGGGGGAACUGAAACAUCUAAGUACCCCGAGGAAAAGAAAUCAACCGAGAUUCCCCCAGUAGCGGCGAGCGAACGGGGAACAGCCCAGAGCCUGAAUCAGCUUGUGUGUCAGUGGAACGGUCUGGAAAGGCCGGCGAUACAGGGUGACAGCCCCGUACACGAAGGCACACAGGUUGUGAGCUCGAUGAGUAGGGCGGGACACGUGAUAUCCUGUCUGAAGAUGGGGGGACCAUCCUCCAAGGCUAAAUACUCCUGACUGACCGAUAGUGAACCAGUACCGUGAGGGAAAGGCGAAAAGAACCCCGGCGAGGGGAGUGAAACAGAACCUGAAACCGUGUACGUACAAGCAGUGGGAGCCUUCGUAAGAGGGUGACUGCGUACCUUUUGUAUAAUGGGUCAGCGACUUAU
RNAcentral lists this ribosomal RNA (591 nucleotides) under Cronobacter dublinensis. RNAcentral describes it as "partial 23S ribosomal RNA". It matches the Rfam family "Bacterial large subunit ribosomal RNA", at positions 1 to 631 of the family's 2925-position model. The record is from RNAcentral. Lineage: Bacteria; Pseudomonadati; Pseudomonadota; Gammaproteobacteria; Enterobacterales; Enterobacteriaceae.